Molecule: ribosomal RNA, 497 nt
Filed under: uncultured bacterium
Lineage: Bacteria
Description: partial 16S ribosomal RNA
Rfam family: Bacterial small subunit ribosomal RNA
Source: RNAcentral
GAUGAACGCUGGCGGCGUGCCUAAUACAUGCAAGUCGAGCGAACGGACGAGAAGCUUGCUUCUCUGAUGUUAGCGGCGGACGGGUGAGUAACACGUGGAUAACCUACCUAUAAGACUGAUAUAACUUCGGGAAACCGGAGCUAAUACCGUAUAAUAUUUUGAACCGCAUGGUUCAAAAGUGAAAGACGGUCUUUCUGUCACUUAUAGAUGGAUCCGCGCUGCAUUAGCUAGUUGGUAAGGUAACGGCUUACCAAGGCAACGAUGCAUAGCCGACCUGAGAGGGUGAUAGGCCACACUGGAACUGAGACACGGUCCAGACUCCUACGGGAGGCAGCAGUAGGGAAUCUUCCGCAAUGGGCGAAAGCCUGACGGAGCAACGCCGCGUGAGUGAUGAAGGUCUUCGGAUCGUAAAACUCUGUUAUUAGGGAAGAACAUAUGUGUAAGUAACUGUGCACAUCUUGACGGUACCUAAUCAGAAAGCCACGGCUAACUACGUG